This is a long non-coding RNA of Etheostoma spectabile (orangethroat darter), 965 nucleotides long. RefSeq lists it as uncharacterized. NCBI's taxonomy places the organism in Eukaryota, Metazoa, Chordata, Actinopteri, Perciformes, Percidae. The record is from RefSeq and is a predicted model, not a curated record. The transcript is spliced from 3 exons.
AGGGUAAGGUUAGGCAUUUAGGUUUGAUGUUUAAGGUAGGGUAGGGGGCUAGGGAAUGCAUUAUGUCGUGACGGGUCCACAAAGAUGGAGACACUUGUGGUGUGUGUGUGUGUGGGGUGUGUGUGUGGGUGUGUGUGUGUGUGUGGGUGUGGGGUGUGGGUGUGUCUGGGGUCCCAGUGAUUGCUUUGUGUGAAUUUGGGGCAAUGGCCAGAUGGUGGCGGUGAAUGAACUUUAUGUUUGGGUGGAGUGGGGGGUCAAGACUGAUCUCCAUAUAGGCCACGCCCAUUGUGUAAAAUCAAGUUUUCUCCAGUUUAAUUUUUUAGUACUUCUUCUACACAUUUUGAGCAAUUAUCACCAAGUUUGGUCCGGCACAUCUUCGGACCAGGCUAUAAAACAUGACUUUCUUGGAUUUGUGAUGUUCCGUUCAGUUAACGCAACACGUUCGAUAUCAAUACACUGAAUACUGUGACUAAACAAGCUAACAUCGCUGUGUGCAGCAAGAGGGGCGGGGCUUCAGGGCUUCAGGGCUCUGAAGACUCAAGCAUGUCCUCUGCAGGUCUACAUUUGCUACAUGGGAGCGGGCGGGCCCAGGAUGUAGCUACUGCGAACCAUAAGGAUGGAGUCUACGAACAAACAGGUGAUGAACUGGCUGCACACAGUCCCGCUCUGACCUGGUAACUGAAGGAAGGGAAAUGGCAACGCGGCCCUAAUCACUGAUCCGAAUGUACAGAAAAAUGUCUGAAUGUGUCCAAGAAUCUCCUGUUAUUCUUCACAUAAUGCACCAAAGAGCAUGUGUUAAAGUAUGUGUCUCGAAUCAUCAACGUGACUGUUUCUGUGGCUCAACUUUUCAUUUUAAUACUGCGUUUUACCUCUGGCUGUGCUGAUGGUUGCGGGACAGGUUCUCUUCAGGACCCUCUGUGAUGCUGAAGAGCCAGUCUAUGAACUGAGAGAGAGAGAGAGAGAGA